Nothobranchius furzeri (turquoise killifish) is the source of this 4573-nucleotide long non-coding RNA. The record is from Ensembl. Lineage: Eukaryota; Metazoa; Chordata; Actinopteri; Cyprinodontiformes; Nothobranchiidae.
AUGUCCUGGGUUAAGCACCUUGCCCACAACACGGCAGAAUCAACCGGCCAAACGAAUACAUCCUCUGAAGAACCACUUCCUGUCGCCAUAGCCAAUACCUUGUCCCAGCAUGAAAGUUCCGUCCGCUUCAUCUCCACCGCCACUUCCGGUUCAGCAGCAUGGGGUUUCCGGGUCGCUGAGUCACCACAGCCUGAUACCUUCUCUGGCGAGCCAGGUAAAUGCCGCUGUUUCCUACUACUCUGCCAGUUAGCCUUUGAAAGGUCACCAGACACCUUCAUAAAUGAUUCGGUUAAAAUCUCGUACGUUUACUCUGGGGUAGGGCUCUGCAAUGGGCCGAGGCUAAGAGCCGGCAGGCUAGCUUCCUGCGAGGUCCGCUCUCGGCUUUUCUAGCUGAGUUCAAACAACUUUUUGACCAGACGGAGUUUCCCGCAGAAAUCGCAAAGCAGAUUUGGAAUCUCCAGCAGGGUAAACAGUCAGUCCUCGAUUUCGCCAUAGAAUUCCGCACUUUGGCUUUCAUAUCAACUUUAGACGAGGCUUCUCUGAAAGCCGCUUUCUCUCAGGCUUUGACCGAUAAGAUAAAAGAUCAGCUCGCGUUUUGCCAGGAACCCGAGAACCUCGAGUCCCUUAUCAACCUCGCCUCUAACGUCGAAAAACGCCUGAAGGAAAGACACAAGACUUCGGCGUUCAGGCCACCAUCAACCACUGCUUCACAGCAACGUCCCCAUCAAACAUCUCAACAGCACCUCCUUCCCUCGGGGUCAGACGAACCCAUGCAAAUCAAACGAGCGCAUUUAACUCCCGAGGAGAAAAUGAGACACCAUUCCCUGGGGCUGGGCCUGCCUACACCCUGGACUCGCACAACCUUCUCCUGUCCACCUCUUCUACAACCAUCGGACCUGCCGCCUCUCCUUCACUGAACUUCACCCAGUCCACCACCGCUAAGAACUGGUUUAAGACCGUAAGAACAAUUCAAACACCAAAUUUAUUCUUCUCUUGGUUCUCUGGUUCCGCCUCGUAUUCACGAUUGUUUGUUCUUUUGUUUUAGAUUUCCGGUCCGUUCCUGUUCCUGCUUUUCUGGAGCAGCGCCCUUAAUUUUUCCUUAGCUUCAUUUAAUAAAAUAUUUUACUCUUUUUACUUACCUGGUUUUCACGUGUGGUCCUUCAUGUCCUGGGUUAAGCACCUUGCCCACAACAUGACAAGUGUGGCUGCUGUCAAAAACAACUCUAUUUUAUAUCUAUCAUUUAAAUAUUCAGUUAAUAAGAGGAAAUCAUUAUAUAGACUAUCAGUAUUGACUAAACAUUCACAAAAAAUAUUAAGUUUUCAGUACAUUCAUGUAGAUAGUUAAUUUUUUUGGUUGAAACCCCAUUAAGAUGUAAGUAGGAACUUAUUUUUUUUGCACGUCCCCUCGUUGCUCAUAGGGUGUAGUUUAUUGGCACCACAAGGGGUGUAGUAGUACCUGGCAUUUCUGAAAGAUAUAAAAGGUGUCUUCCUGUUAGAGAAGUGGUUUUAUUUUUAUUUUUUAUAUUCUGUAAGUGACUCUGACUCUGCUUAGCAAUUUUGUUUUAUCUCAACAUAACACAAGCCUGGAAGAGUUCUGCCUUGUGGUGGAGUUGCUAAUGCUAAUGGUUAGCUUCUACUAGCUGAGAUGUUCCCUGCUUUUUCCUGGAUGCUUAAGCAAUAACAGCCUUCCCCAUUGUGAGUCAAGAUGGGCGAGUCCACGACUGACAGCGUAACAUAGAUCUGUCAGGCUUUUCUAAUCCUAGAUUCAGAGGUGUGGACUUGAGUCACAUGGAUUCAAGUCAGACUUGAGUCAUUAUUUUAAUGACUUCUGACUUGACUUGAUAAAAUUUAUAAAGACUUACAACUUGACUCGGACUUGAAAGCCAAUGACUUGCGACUUGAAUCGACUUGCAUCUGUUGACUUGAUAAUGACUUAAGCAUAUUUGAUAUUUUAGCACAAAAGUGGCACGACAUGAACAAAAAUCAUAAAUCAUUUUUCGUUCUGGGUUUGAUGUUGAACUGCUAAAUGCAACUAGCCUGGCCUGCCAGACUCGUCCUCUGUUUAAUUCUGCACAGAGAAAGAGUCUGGUUACUCACAGGCAGAGAGGCACUUGAGGGGCGGGGCUAGCCAGCUCAAAAAUAACCAAUCAGAAAAAAGACGGAAAUGCCGACUGUACCGCACGACUCUGUAGUUUUUUAGCUGUAGUCAAAAAAGGCAUUUGGCAACGGCACAAACAUCUUUUUUUUUUAGAAGAAAUGCUUGUUGUGGUUUUAAAGACAUUCAAGUCAUUUAGACCAGAGGAAAGAACUCCGCUUCAGCCGCCAUGUUUAUGACAAACUCGGCGUUAUGGUGCGUGACGUAGCUACUCAGCGCUGACUGGCUCGGUUAGAAUUCUCAGGGGCUGGGGUUAUUUGAAUAGGAGAGUUCCCAAACCCUUUCUCUCCCAACAGAGGAGGAGUCUGGCAGGCCAGGUUAAAAUGCAGCAGCACUUUUUAUUAUCAGUUUCAGUUGCACUUCCUGCUUGUUUAAGCAAAUAAAUGAAGCUUUAUUUCUGGAAUUUAUUUAUUAUCAUUGUCAUUAAAUUGAAGUUGGACAGAUGACUUGAUAAUGACUUGAAAAUUCAAAGUUGAGGACUCGGACUUGACUUGGUCUUGAAUGUCUUUGACUUGGACUUAACUCGAGACUUGACUGGAAAGACUUGUGACUUAAUUGUGACUUAAUUGUGUUGUAAAGCACCCUGGGGGGUUGUGGAACCCUAGAAGAGGCUAUAUCAAAUACAGACCAUACAUUUCUUAGUUGUGAUGGGAUUUUGGAGACAACCUAAGGCAUAUGAGGACAUUUUGUCCACAAUAAAGGUCUGACAAAACUCAAGAAUGACGUUGAUCCUUGGGUUAGGGUUAGGAAACUUGAGAAGAGUAACUCAAAAUGAAGAACCUGUAAUUCUUCUUCUGCCCGUUCAUGUAGAAGUGCUGGGGUCAUUACAUUACAAUAACCAGACAGAGAACCUUAACGCUAAUGGGUGUUCCUCAUGGUGUUGACCUGAUAAAGCUCUCCUGCACAUUCUGCUACAGUAAAUACAUUACAACCACACUUAAACUAGCUCAAAACAUAUUUUGCUUUAAACAAGUUAUGAUGACCAAGACACAUAACCUGAAUCAUCCAGCUCUAUUAUGACUCUGUAUGGACUAUGAUGUUUGAUACAUCAGAUGAAAACAGUUCCUACCAUAAAUCACUUGGCAUAAUGCUAUGAUGACUCCAUGGAAGGAGUCAGUGCUCGUGUGAUCCACUUCCACAGGUGUUUCCUCUUGUUUUCCCACUUCUUACUCAUGGCAUAUCCUGCAGUUUUGUUCCAGAGCUAUGGCAGCACAGUUCCUUUGUUAAUCUUCACUAGAUUGAAACAGGAUAAAGAAAAAGAAAACAAAGAAAAUCGCUGCACUGGCAGCUGACCCUCUUGAACCACAUUCAGUGUCACAUCUUGUGAAUGUAAACACAGCUGGCAGGACCGUAUUGUGUUCUGCUGCAUCCUUCUUGUACAGGAGUUGGAAACAUUCCUGCUGUCACCUGUGGCAAAACAAAGCAGACCACCAAGACUCACUAUCGCCUCAGAGUUUAAAAGAGGAGGAAACCUCAGUUAGAUCAAAUCAAAUCAACUUUAUUUAUAUAGCACUUUUCACACACACACACACACACACACACACACACACACACACACACACACACACACACACACACACACACACGUAACAACAGAGUAAACAAUAGGCUGAGUUCAGACGGGUCAGGUAAUGGACGACACAUCAUCAGCGGAGCCAUCUGCCUCGAUAGCAACAGAUCCACGGCAGCAGCCAAGACACCCACCCAGGGAGAGAGGGUGGAGACCCCCACCUACUGCCCGGGCACUACCCGAGGAGCAUCCCGGCCGCCGCCGCCGCCGACCCAAAGGCAGAGGGCAAUGCAGAGGAAACACUGGAGGAUCAAAAUAUAUAACAUGUAAAAUAACAAAAGCUACUACGGAUAGAAAGUAACUGAUAAAAAAGUGAUUAUAAAGAUAGUAAAAGAAAACAUAAUCAUGUAAAAACACUAAGAUGUAGAUAAAAUAAUAAAAUUAAGUAAAAGAGAUAAAUAGGUAUAUAUACACAGGGGCGGCGUUAGGCCCGCUACUUGGGCUGAAGCCCCGGAUGUUUCAUCAAAAGCCCCGGAUCUAAAUCGCGGAAGUAACAUGCAGUACCAAAGUCCAACAGAGAGGGAGCAGCUGGCAGUAGUUUGUAUACAGCCUGCCUGAGCCUCCACCACUGAAGAAGAAGCCCUUCAGCAGCCGGCUUCUUCUACACUCUCUGCCUGAAACGCAUGAGUGAAGAUGGACAUAAGGACGUUUUUUAGACCAAAAGUACAACGACAGAACCCCAGCUUUGAUGAGACUGGUGCUGACUCAGGUUUGUGAGUCUUAUUUGAAAAUAUUUGUUGUGCUGCUGGUUUGCCUAAAGUUAGCUUACUAUCAGGUAAAGUUGUUGGAGAAAGAAAGGGAAUAUUUACUAUCAUCUCACACUAAACACUAACAGGAACAAUACUCUG